Molecule: ribosomal RNA, 468 nt
Filed under: uncultured bacterium
Lineage: Bacteria
Description: partial 16S ribosomal RNA
Rfam family: Bacterial small subunit ribosomal RNA
Source: RNAcentral
GACGAACGCUGGCGGCGUGCUUAACACAUGCAAGUCGAACGGAAAGGCCCUGCUUUUGUCGGGUGCUCGAGUGGCGAACGGGUGAGUUACACGUGAGUCUCCUUCCCUUGACUUUGUGAUGACUUCAGGAAACUGCUGCUAAUACCUGCUAGCUGCUCCUGCUGCAUGGUGGUGUUUGGACAGCUUAGGUGGAUGGAGAUAUACUGGGGGGUUAUCAGCUUGUUGGUGGGGGAGUUGCUUACCAAGCCUUCGAAGGAUAGUCGGCCUGAGAGGGUGAACGGCCACAUUGGGACUGAGAGACGGAGCAGACGCGUACGGGAGGCAGCGGGCGGGAGUAUUGCACAAUGGGCGGAAGCCUGAGGCAGAAAUGCCGCGUGCGGGAUGACGGCCUUCGGGGGGUAAACCGCUUUCGGCUGAGACGAAGCGGGAGUGACGGUAAUGGGUAAAGAAGCACCGGCUAACUACGUG